GAUGAAGAACGUAGCGAAAUGCGAUAAGUAAUGUGAAUUGCAGAAUUCAGUGAAUCAUCGAGUCUUUGAACGCACAUUGCGCCCCCUGGUAUUCCGGGGGGCAUGCCUGUCCGAGCGUCAUUGCUGCCCUCAAGCACGGCUUGUGUGUUGGGCCCCGCCCCCCGGCUCCCGGGGGGCGGGCCCGAAAGGCAGCGGCGGCACCGCGUCCGGUCCUCGAGCGUAUGGGGCUUCGUCACCCGCUCCGUAGGCCCGGCCGGCGCCCGCCGGCGACCCCCCUCAAUCUUUUCAGGUUGACCUCGGAUCAGGUAGGGAUAUCCGCUGAACUUAAGCAUAUCAAUAAGCGGAGGA
This 348-nucleotide unclassified non-coding RNA is filed under the name soil metagenome. RNAcentral describes it as "partial contains 5.8S ribosomal RNA, internal transcribed spacer 2, and large subunit ribosomal RNA". The stretch from base 1 to 120 matches the Rfam family "5.8S ribosomal RNA", at positions 35 to 154 of the family's 154-position model. The record is from RNAcentral.